UACAGAGGGUGCAAGCGUUAAUCGGAAUCACUGGGCGUAAAGCGUGCGUAGGUGGUCAUGCAAGUCGGGUGUGAAAUCCCCGGGCUUAACCUGGGAACUGCAUUCGAUACUACAUGGCUAGAGUAUGGUAGAGGGAAGUGGAAUUUCCGGUGUAGCGGUGAAAUGCGUAGAUAUCGGAAGGAACACCAAUGGCGAAGGCAGCUUCCUGGACCAAUACUGACGCUGAGGCACGAAAGCGUGGGGAGCAAACAGG
This 253-nucleotide ribosomal RNA is filed under the name uncultured bacterium. Its description in RNAcentral is "partial 16S ribosomal RNA". It matches the Rfam family "Bacterial small subunit ribosomal RNA", at positions 524 to 776 of the family's 1533-position model. The record is from RNAcentral.